GGUGGUUCUCGGGUGACGCACCCCAGAAUCGGGCUCCCUCCUCUCUGGUUCUGGGGUGCAUCACCUGAGAACCGCC
This is a non-coding RNA of Myotis brandtii (Brandt's bat), 76 nucleotides long. The record is from Rfam. Lineage: Eukaryota; Metazoa; Chordata; Mammalia; Chiroptera; Vespertilionidae.